Saccostrea echinata is the source of this 305-nucleotide long non-coding RNA. RefSeq lists it as uncharacterized. The transcript has 3 exons. Lineage: Eukaryota; Metazoa; Mollusca; Bivalvia; Ostreida; Ostreidae. The record is from RefSeq and is a predicted model, not a curated record.
CCGAGAUUCUAUGUUCAAGAGCAGAGUACUGAUUGACUGCAGUGUUCCUUAGAGUGGAGGAAGAAGGUUAGACUUGCCUGUCAGAGAGGCUAGAACUAGAGAACAAGAUUAAGGAUAGACUGUGGUUUUACCUACAAGUGAAGUUUAGACAGAAUGGAGCCAAUGGUACCCAGGAAGCCUGAGAAAAGGUUGUAUUUUGAUCUUGUAAGCCUGAAAUAAGGUGAGCUGUAUUUUUGUUUUUGCAUGUAUUUUUUUCCUGUCCUCUCUCCUUCCCUUUCUUACUUACAUUACUAACAUAACUAACC